GAUGAACGCUGGCGGCGUGCCUAAUACAUGCAAGUCGAGCGAACGGACGAGAAGCUUGCUUCUCUGAUGUUAGCGGCGGACGGGUGAGUAACACGUGGAUAACCUACCUAUAAGACUGGGAUAACUUCGGGAAACCGUAGCUAAUACCGGAUAAUAUUUUGAACCGCAUGGUUCAAAAGUGAAAGACGGUCUUGCUGUCACUUAUAGAUGGAUCCGCGCUGCAUUAGCUAGUUGGUAAGGUAACGGCUUACCAAGGCAACGAUGCAUAGCCGACCUGAGAGGGUGAUCGGCCACACUGGAACUGAGACACGGUCCAGACUCCUACGGGAGGCAGCAGUAGGGAAUCUUCCGCAAUGGGCGAAAGCCUGACGGAGCAACGCCGCGUGAGUGAUGAAGGUCUUCGGAUCGUAAAACUCUGUUAUUAGGGAAGAACAUAUGUGUAAGUAACUGUGCACAUCUUGACGGUACCUAAUCAGAAAGCCACGGCUAACUACGUGCCAGCAGCCGCGGUAAUACGUAGGUGGCAAGCGUUAUCCGGAAUUAUUGGACGUAAAGCGCGCGUAGGCGGUUUUUUAAGUCUGAUGUGAAAGCCCACGGCUCAACCGUGGAGGGUCAUUGGAAACUGGAAAACUUGAGUGCAGAAGAGGAAAGUGGAAUUCCAUGUGUAGCGGUGAAAUGCGCAGAGAUAUGGAGGAACACCAGUGGCGAAGGCGACUUUCUGGUCUGUAACUGACGCUGAUGUGCGAAAGCGUGGGGAUCAAACAGGAUUAGAUACCCUGGUAGUCCACGCCGUAAACGAUGAGUGCUAAGUGUUAGGGGGUUUCCGCCCCUUAGUGCUGCAGCUAACGCAUUAAGCACUCCGCCUGGGGAGUACGACCGCAAGGUUGAAACUCAAAGGAAUUGACGGGGACCCGCACAAGCGGUGGAGCAUGUGGUUUAAUUCGAAGCAACGCGAAGAACCUUACCAAAUCUUGACAUCCUUUGACAACUCUAGAGAUAGAGCCUUCCCCUUCGGGGGACAAAGUGACAGGUGGUGCAUGGUUGUCGUCAGCUCGUGUCGUGAGAUGUUGGGUUAAGUCCCGCAACGAGCGCAACCCUUAAGCUUAGUUGCCAUCAUUAAGUUGGGCACUCUAAGUUGACUGCCGGUGACAAACCGGAGGAAGGUGGGGAUGACGUCAAAUCAUCAUGCCCCUUAUGAUUUGGGCUACACACGUGCUACAAUGGACAAUACAAAGGGCAGCGAAACCGCGAGGUCAAGCAAAUCCCAUAAAGUUGUUCUCAGUUCGGAUUGUAGUCUGCAACUCGACUACAUGAAGCUGGAAUCGCUAGUAAUCGUAGAUCAGCAUGCUACGGUGAAUACGUUCCCGGGUCU
RNAcentral lists this ribosomal RNA (1372 nucleotides) under uncultured bacterium. Its description in RNAcentral is "bacterial SSU rRNA". It matches the Rfam family "Bacterial small subunit ribosomal RNA", at positions 28 to 1381 of the family's 1533-position model. The record is from RNAcentral.